CCCUUAGAUGUCCUGGGCCGCACGCGCGCCACACUGACAUGUUCAACAAGCCUCCUAGUUCGACAGGAUUUGGGAAAUCUUUGAACGCAUGUCGUGAUAGGGAUAGAUCAUUGCAAUUAUUGAUCUUGAACGAGGAAUUCCUAGUAAACGCGAGUCAUCAGCUCGCAUUGAUUACGUCCCUACCCUUUGUACACACCGCCCGUCGCACCUACCGAUUGAAUGUUUCGGUGAAGAUUCCGGAUAGGACUUUUUUGAUUUAUUUCAAUUCUGUCUUAAAAGCUAUCUAAACCUCAACAUUUAGAGGAAGAUGAAGCCGUAACA
RNAcentral lists this ribosomal RNA (321 nucleotides) under uncultured eukaryote. Its description in RNAcentral is "partial 18S ribosomal RNA". It matches the Rfam family "Eukaryotic small subunit ribosomal RNA", at positions 1470 to 1796 of the family's 1831-position model. The record is from RNAcentral.